RNAcentral lists this transfer RNA (110 nucleotides) under Hypoxylon sp. FL1150. RNAcentral's name for it is "tRNA-Ser". It matches the Rfam family "tRNA". From Rfam's summary of the family: Transfer RNA (tRNA) molecules are approximately 80 nucleotides in length. Lineage: Eukaryota; Fungi; Ascomycota; Sordariomycetes; Xylariales; Hypoxylaceae. The record is from RNAcentral.
GGCACGAUGGCGGAGUGGUCUAACGCGUGAGACUUGAACUAGAUCCGAUUCGGUUCGGUUUACGAUAUCUCAUAUCUUCGGAUGCGCAGGUUCAAAUCCUGCUCGUGUCG